UACGUAGGGGGCAAGCGUUGUCCGGAUUUAUUGGGCGUAAAGAGCGUGUAGGCGGUUUGGUAGGUCCGUUGUGAAAACUCGAGGCUCAACCUCGAGACGCCGAUGGAAACCAUCAGACUAGAGUCCGGAAGAGGAGAGUGGAAUUCCUGGUGUAGCGGUGAAAUUCGUAGAUAUUGGGAAGAACACCGGUGGCGAAGGCGGCCAUCUGGACCGUAUCUGACGCUGAGGCGCGAAAGCGUGGGGAGCAAACAGG
This 253-nucleotide ribosomal RNA is filed under the name uncultured bacterium. RNAcentral's name for it is "partial 16S ribosomal RNA". It matches the Rfam family "Bacterial small subunit ribosomal RNA", at positions 524 to 776 of the family's 1533-position model. The record is from RNAcentral.